UCCCAGCAGUCCAAGUCGCAGCCAUCAUUAUUGGGUCUAAAAUAUCCGUAGCUUGCUUGAAAAGUUCCUUGUGAAAUCCGGCAUCUUAAGUGUCGGGCGCGCAGGGAAUACUCUUGAGCUAGAGACAGGAAGACGUAAGAAGUACGUUUGAAGUAGCGGUAAAAUGUGUUAAUCUCAGACGGACUAACAACAGCGAAGGCAUCUUACGAGGACUGUUCUGACAGUUAAGGAUGAAGGCUAGGGGCGCAAAGUGG
This 254-nucleotide ribosomal RNA is filed under the name uncultured archaeon. RNAcentral's name for it is "partial 16S ribosomal RNA". It matches the Rfam family "Archaeal small subunit ribosomal RNA", at positions 474 to 727 of the family's 1478-position model. The record is from RNAcentral.